RNA transcript from Beta vulgaris subsp. vulgaris (sugar beet), 353 nucleotides. RefSeq lists it as uncharacterized. The record is from RefSeq and is a predicted model, not a curated record. The transcript is spliced from 3 exons. Lineage: Eukaryota; Viridiplantae; Streptophyta; Magnoliopsida; Caryophyllales; Amaranthaceae.
UCUCGCCUUCUCUCUUUCGUUGUAAAGCAAGUUAUCAGUUUCUUCAAAUCGAGCGUCAUAUAUCAGUAGCUUUUCGUGAACAACAACUAGCAGUUUUUUAUGGAAGACGCUGCUGUAGCGAUUUCAGAAGCCUCAGUUCGCCGUUCGAUCGAUUCUGACGACGUUCUUGAGGAUGUUCGCCUGAAAUUUAAGUGCAAUCGUGUUGUUGGACUGCAACCGCUGUUAAAUUUGACCAUAUUAGCUUGAUUGGUACAUCGUCUUGACAGAGAAAGUAGUGGGAUCCUCUUGAUGGGGAGGACAAAGGAGAGCGCUUCUUAUCUUCAACAAUGUUAUCAUCAUUAAUGUGGCAAAAA